CUCUCUCUCUCUCUCUCUCUGUUUCAGAGAAAUUUAAAACCCUAAAAACUACAACAACAGAGUUAAAUCUUUCAAAAAUUUGAACAAAAAAGAAGAAAAUGAAGAGCAAGAAGCCAUUGCAGCAACUCAAGCUCUCCGUUCCGGCUCAAGAAAUCCCCAUUACCUCUUUCUUGACUGCAAGUGGUACAUUUCACGAUGGAGAUUUGCUUUUGAAUCAGAAAGGCCUGCGGCUUAUCUCUGAAGAGAAGGAAUCUCGUCCUUCAGAUAACAAGGAGCUUGAUUUUGAUUUCUCAUUGGAAGACCUUGAGACAGUCAAAGUCAUUGGAAAGGGGAGCGGAGGUGUAGUGCAACUUGUUCGUCAUAAAUGGGUUGGGACAUUAUUUGCAUUGAAGGUCAUUUCACUAACAUGAGAACCUUUUUAUUUUGUUUUUCAAACAUCAGACUUGCAAGGUGAUAUUCAAUAGACCUCUCUUUAUGAAUUUAUUGACUUCAAUUGUUAAAAUUCAUGCGUCCUUUGUAUCACAUGAAAAUAGUGGAAGGGAUGCUAAAGAUUUGACUGUUUACUUUUUUUUUUUUCCCUAUUCCUUUUAACCACAAGAAGUAUGUAAAUAGGAGCAAAUGACUUCAUUUUUACACUUGACAUAUUGCCUUGAAUGUUUAUAAUAUCACUGCCUCUAUCUUGAGUUUAGUUAUGUAUUAAGUGGAAAUUUCUCAGAUUAUUUUGGGUCAUUUCCACUUCCAAAUCAAAGUGCUAAGUGAUAAGAUAUAUUUGUCCAUAACUUGGAAGUUUAAUGAAUUCUAUAUUACAGGUCAUCCAGAUGAACAUACAAGAGGAUAUUCGUAAACAAAUUGUACAGGAGCUGAAAAUAAACCAAGCCUCCCAAUGUUCUCACGUUGUUGUUUGCCACCAUUCAUUCUAUCACAAUGGAGCUAUUUCUCUUGUACUAGAAUACAUGGAUCGUGGAUCUCUGGCAGAUGUGAUUAGACAAGUUAAAACAAUUCUCGAACCUUACCUGGCUGUUGUGUGCAAGCAGGUUUUACAGGGUCUCGUGUAUCUACACCAUGAGCGACAUGUCAUACAUAGGGACAUUAAACCAUCCAAUCUAUUGGUAAACCAUAAAGGGGAAGUGAAGAUCACUGAUUUUGGUGUGAGUGCAAUGCUAGCUAGUUCUAUGGGUCAAAGGGACACAUUUGUUGGAACUUACAAUUACAUGUCGCCAGAGCGAAUUAGUGGGAGCACCUAUGACUACAGCAGUGAUAUUUGGAGUUUAGGGUUGGUAGUACUUGAGUGUGCUAUAGGGCGUUUUCCUUAUAUGCAAUCUGAAGAUCAGCAAAACUGGCCAAGCUUUUAUGAGCUCUUGGAGGCCAUUGUGGAGAGCCCACCUCCAUCUGCUCCACCAGAUCAAUUCUCCCCCGAGUUCUGUUCAUUUGUCUCAUCUUGUAUACAGAAGAAUCCUCGAGAAAGGGCAUCAUCUUUGGACCUUUUGAAUCACCCAUUUAUCAAAAAGUUUGAAGACAAAGACAUUGAUCUUGGAAUUCUAGUUGGCAGCUUGGAACCUCCUGUGAACUACCCUAGGUAGUUUGUCUUGUGAUGUUUAUGUUGAACCUGAGCCAGGUUGGCUUGUCUUAUAAUGCUAUAUCGACUGACUUAUCUAGUAUAAAGUGUUCACAUCAGGUCUUGGCUAUUAAUCUUUAUCAAACAUUACAGAAAUUACCAUGUACUAUUGAAGCAAAUUAUUUACUUAUAUGGAUCUUGCCUUCAUAUUCAAAGAGAUAAUAUCUAAUUUUAGGACAGGUUACAUGAUCUUGCCAUUGUAUAUUGAUCUGGGUUUGUUUAGUCUUUCAAGCUCAAUGAACAUUGGUUUUGGAAGUAGGCAUAAUUUUUGUACCUUAAGUUCAU
Molecule: unclassified non-coding RNA, 1900 nt
Filed under: Hevea brasiliensis (rubber tree)
Lineage: Eukaryota; Viridiplantae; Streptophyta; Magnoliopsida; Malpighiales; Euphorbiaceae
Source: RNAcentral